GAUGAACGCUGGCGGCGUGCCUAACACAUGCAAGUCGAGCGGAGAAACGACGCGUUUUCUUGUAUGCAGCGACGGGCGGGUGAGUGAUGAAUAGGAAGCUAACCUGCUGAUGGGAAUGACGUCCGUAAGGGAGCGCGAAGACCGCAUCCGUCAAGAUGUAGAAACGGAGGGAUCAUCGGACAUAGAGCGAUCAGAUGUCCCUAGGAGAGAUUACCGCGUCGCAUUAGCUAGUUGGUACGGUGACGGCGUACCAAGGCGACGAUGCGUAGCUGACCUGAGAGGAUGAUCGGCCACACUGGAACUGAGACACGGUCCAGACUCCUACGGGAGGCAGCAGUGGGGAAUAUUCGACAAUGGGCGAAAGCCUGAUCCAGCCAUGCCGCGUGUGUGAAGAAGGUCUUCGGAUCGUAAAGCACUUUUAGUUGGGAGGAAGGGCUGUAUGUUAAUACCUUGCUGUUUUGACGUUACCUACAGAAUAAGCCCCGGCUAACUACGUG
Molecule: ribosomal RNA, 497 nt
Filed under: uncultured bacterium
Lineage: Bacteria
Description: partial 16S ribosomal RNA
Rfam family: Bacterial small subunit ribosomal RNA
Source: RNAcentral